RNAcentral lists this ribosomal RNA (1582 nucleotides) under Otus semitorques pryeri. RNAcentral's name for it is "16S rRNA". It matches the Rfam family "Bacterial large subunit ribosomal RNA", at positions 361 to 2830 of the family's 2925-position model. The record is from RNAcentral. Lineage: Eukaryota; Metazoa; Chordata; Aves; Strigiformes; Strigidae.
AGCCCCCUCUAGCCCCACCCAACCACUUAUCAAAAACACCCUUAAUCAAACCAAACCAAAACAUUUUCCCAAAGCCCCAGUAUAGGUGAUAGAAAAGGCAACCCCCCCCGAGGCGCAAUAGAGACCACGUACCGCAAGGAAAGAUGAAAUAGCAAUGAAAAUCCAAAGCAACACAAAGCAAAGACAAACCCUUGUACCUCUUGCAUCAUGGUCCAGCCAGAACAACCAAGCAAAACGAACUUAAGCUUGUCCCCCCGAAACCUAAGCGAGCUACUUGCGAGCAGCUACAUACCUGAGCGAACCCAUCUCUGUGGCAAAAGAGUGGGAUGACUUGCUAGUAGAGGUGAGAAGCCUACCGAGCUGGGUGAUAGCUGGUUGCCUGUGAAACGAAUUUAAGUUCCCCCUUAGCCCCCCCCCAACAGCUUCAUAACCUGUCAUGAGAAACCUAAGUGUAAUUUAAAGGGGGUACAGCCCCUUUAAAACAGGACACAACCUCCUCCAGAGGAUAAGAACCAAAUACCUGAAUAGUAGGCCUUUAAGCAGCCACCAACAAAGAGUGCGUCAAAGCUCACCGCCAUAAAAAUCCAACAAACACUACGACUCCCUCCCCACCAACAGGCCAAUCUAUACAUAUAGAAGAAUCAAUGCUAGAAUGAGUAAUCUGGGUCCCCCCUCUUAAGCGCAAACUUACCCUCAGAGAAUUAACAGAAAGCCAAAUACAUUGACCAACACAAGAACCACAUAUCAACUCACCCUGUUAACCCAACCCAGGAGCGCCCACUAGAAGGAUUAAAAUCUGUAAAAGGAACUAGGCAAACCAAAGACCCGACUGUUUACCAAAAACAUAGCCUUCAGCAUACCAAGUAUUGAAGGUGACGCCUGCCCAGUGACACCACGUUUAACGGCCGCGGUAUCCUAACCGUGCGAAGGUAGCGCAAUCAAUUGUCCCAUAAAUCGAGACCUGUAUGAAUGGCUAAACGAGGUCUUAACUGUCUCUUACAGAUAAUCGAUGAAAUUGAUCUCCUCGUGCAAAAGCGAGGAUAAUCCCAUAAGACGAGAAGACCCUGUGGAACUUUCAAAAUCAAUGGCCAACACACACCAAACCCCUCCCUAGGGGCCACCGACAUAACACUGCACUGGCCAUAAUUUUUCGGUUGGGGCGACCUUGGAGAAAAACAAACCCUCCAAAACAAAGACCACACCUCUUAACCAAGAACAACACCUCAACGUGCUAACAGCAACCUGACCCAAUACCAAUUGAGCAAUGAACCAAGCUACCCCAGGGAUAACAGCGCAAUCCCCUCCAAGAGCCCAUAUCGACGAGGAGGUUUACGACCUCGAUGUUGGAUCAGGACAUCCUAGUGGUGCAGCCGCUACUAAGGGUUCGUUUGUUCAACGAUUAACAGUCCUACGUGAUCUGAGUUCAGACCGGAGCAAUCCAGGUCGGUUUCUAUCUAUGACCCCAGACCCCCCCUAGUACGAAAGGACCGGAGGAGCGGGGCCAAUACCCCACAGCACGCCCCCAAAAAAACAAUGAACACAACUCAAUUAUAAAUAACCCCAUUAGCCCUAGAUAAGGGCA